UACGGGGGGGGCAAGCGUUGUUCGGAAUUACUGGGCGUAAGGGGCUCGUAGGUGGCCAACUAAGUCAUACGUGAAAUCCCUCGGCUUAACCGGGGAACUGCGUCUGAUACUGGAUGGCUUGAGGUUGGGAGAGGGAUGCGGAAUUCCAGGUGUAGCGGUGAAAUGCGUAGAUAUCUGGAGGAACACCGGUGGCGAAGGCGGCAUCCUGGACCAAUUCUGACACUGAGGAGCGAAAGCCAGGGGAGCAAACGGG
This 253-nucleotide ribosomal RNA is filed under the name uncultured bacterium. Its description in RNAcentral is "partial 16S ribosomal RNA". It matches the Rfam family "Bacterial small subunit ribosomal RNA", at positions 524 to 776 of the family's 1533-position model. The record is from RNAcentral.